This 286-nucleotide long non-coding RNA is filed under the name Sus scrofa (pig). RNAcentral's name for it is "lncRNA (ENSSSCG00015022634.1)". Lineage: Eukaryota; Metazoa; Chordata; Mammalia; Artiodactyla; Suidae. The record is from RNAcentral.
GAAUGAAAUCUGCUUUUACUGCAAAGUGCUAAAUGACUGCUCAGCUAUGAGAACUGUUUAAUUCUUUCCCUCUUUACCGAUAGGAGUCUGCUUCCACCUGCUGGCUGGAGAAUUUCACAAUCAUCAGUAUUACACAGGUUAUCAUUUCAAACCAAACAUCAAACAUCAGCAACAACGUUCGCAUACCAUCUGCAGUUCAAUGAUGGCCCAGAAUCAACAUUUGAGUAAGACAACAGAGGCACAACCUUCAGAGAAAAAGAAAACUAGAUGGUGUGAUGGAUUCAAG